CUGAAGGGUUUGAUCCUGGCUCAGAAUGAACGUUGGCGGCGUGGAUUAGGCAUGCAAGUCGAGCGAGAAUUUUAUUGUUGAAGCUUCGGCGGAUUCAAUAAGAGGAAAGCGGCAAACGGCGUAGUAAUGCGUAGGUACGUACCCUCAGGUUGGGAAUAGCCAUGGGAAACUGUGGGUAAUGCCCAAUAACAUCUGCGGAUCAAAGGUGUGAUUCCGCCUGAGGAGCGGCUUACGUGAUAUUAGCUUGUUGGUGGGGUAAUGGCCUACCAAGGCAACGAUGUCUAGGGGGUGUGAGAGCAUGGCCCCCACGACCGGAACUGAGACACUGUCCGGACACCUACGGGUGGCUGCAGUCGAGAAUCUUCCGCAAUGGGCGAAAGCCUGACGGAGCGACGCCGCGUGCGGGAUGAAGGCCCUUGGGUUGUAAACCGCUGUCAGAGGGGAUGAAAUCAUGGUUGGCUAUCCUUCCAUGUUGACAGAGCCUCAAAGGAAGCACGGGCUAAGUACGUGCCAGCAGCCGCGGUAACACGUACUGUGCGAACGUUAUUCGGAAUCACUGGGCUUAAAGGGUACGUAGGCGGUUUAUCAAGUCAGGUGUGAAAUGCCUGAGCUCAACUGAGGCACUGCGCUUGAAACUGCUAAACUAGAGUAUUCCAGGGGUGUGCGGAACUGCCAGU
RNAcentral lists this ribosomal RNA (677 nucleotides) under Fuerstiella sp. RNAcentral describes it as "bacterial SSU rRNA". It matches the Rfam family "Bacterial small subunit ribosomal RNA", at positions 1 to 674 of the family's 1533-position model. Lineage: Bacteria; Pseudomonadati; Planctomycetota; Planctomycetia; Planctomycetales; Planctomycetaceae. The record is from RNAcentral.